Molecule: long non-coding RNA, 657 nt
Filed under: Danio rerio (zebrafish)
Lineage: Eukaryota; Metazoa; Chordata; Actinopteri; Cypriniformes; Danionidae
Description: lncRNA si:dkey-182i1.1 (ENSDARG00000097163.2)
Source: RNAcentral
GCGUUCUUGACCAGUGAAAGCGCGUGUUUAGGGUGGCGCUGACUGCCUUCAGCUUCCACGGAUAAUUUCUCAAAUCAGUGUACCUGUUUCCGAUCAGGAGAAUUAUGUUGUGGUAGCAGCAUGGCUCUGCAUGCACCAGCGCUGAAGAAAGAUAUCAUGGCGGUGUGCCAAUAUUUCAUGUGGGCCGGGGAUUACAUUCAACAGACAACAAAGUCUUGCAGGUCUUGCAAUGGCAUGAGAACUCGAACCCUGUCAUUGUGGUCUUCUCUCUGCAUCUCAAGUUCUCAGAUGUACAUGGCAAGCUACUGGACAAACUGGUAACAGCGGGAAAGCUGGAGAUAAGCAGUCAGUUGGUCAGCAUGAAAAGGAACGAUGUCACACCACCCUUUUUUAAAGAGGAAAUGCAGCAUAACACAAUUCUGGCUAUACAUAAUUUGCCAUGUUUUGCCAUUUUUAAGGCGAUGGGUUUACUCACUUUUUUUAAGUAAAGUCAAGUAUAAUCACUUUUUGCAGUGUAGCUGUUUUUCAAAUGUACUGCAUGACCGCUAGAACAGAAUGUUCUAUAUAAUAUGAAUGUGGAUAGUAUAAAUGGAACUCACCAACAUUUGUCAUUACCUAUAAGCACAAAGAAAUAAAAUCAUUUACUUUAGACAUCAG